Anguilla rostrata (American eel) is the source of this 784-nucleotide long non-coding RNA. RefSeq lists it as uncharacterized. The transcript is spliced from 2 exons. NCBI's taxonomy places the organism in Eukaryota, Metazoa, Chordata, Actinopteri, Anguilliformes, Anguillidae. The record is from RefSeq and is a predicted model, not a curated record.
CAGCACCUGCAGUAGGUCCCAGCUGCAGCAGUGCAGUCUCUGUGCAGUCCGACUAAGAGAGGUUUUUGUACGGCUCUCUAUCACUGUGUGAGCGGCGUGCUCAAGCCCUGCUGACAGUAAUAAUCUCCUGCAUCUUCAGCCUGGACUCCAGUGAUUUUCAGUGUGAACUGAGUCCCAGAUCCACUCCCACUGAAACGAUCAGGAAUCCCAGACUGGCGAGUAGUGGCACUAUAGAUCAGAAGUUUAGGAGCCUGACCAGGUUUCUGCUGGUACCAGUGGAGGUGGUUGCCACUGUAAACACUCUGACUGGCUGUACAGCUGAUAGAGACAGUGUCUCCCAGCUGAACAGACUGAGCUGUUGGAUCCUGAGUCAGAAUUCUGUCUUUCUCACCUUGUACAAGGAGUCCCAGCAUCACCAGCAGUAAAAAGUUUGACAUCAUCAUAAUGCUGCCUGUGUCAGUGUCUGUGAAAGGACUGGACAGUCACUGAUCAGUACUGGGGGUCUUAAAGUGUGUAGAGUAGUGAGGCAGGACAGGUAUGCAAAGCCCCUUCCUCUAUACAAAUCCUGUCACACACAGUUAGAGGAGCUCUGAUGUGUGAACAGCAGUGGGUCUGUAGAGGGCUGGAACACGUGCUGUUUUUACCCAGUUAAAUGUUUAAAUGUCAGUCUUACUGUUUGUGGCAUUGUAAUGUAUGGUUUUAGACAAAUAACUGGUGAAAACAGGCAUGUUGAAUGUGACUUAACGUGUAAAAUAUCUGUUGAAUAAAUUCACAUUGCCUCUUA